Numida meleagris (helmeted guineafowl) is the source of this 1059-nucleotide long non-coding RNA. RefSeq lists it as uncharacterized. The record is from RefSeq and is a predicted model, not a curated record. Lineage: Eukaryota; Metazoa; Chordata; Aves; Galliformes; Numididae. The transcript has 2 exons.
GUGACCUUUGAUGUAAACUAAAAUGUGCAGGUGUCAAAGUAUAUCAGUAUCGUAUACUAGAGAUGAGCACAACUGAGGUUUUUUGGCACUUUCUCCUUCCAAUUUAUUAAAGGUUGUGUCAGAAUAAAUUUAUGUAAGCAAGGAUCAAGUUUUAUUAGUGGAACUUCAUUUGCUUUUAAUGAAUAGGGGUAUUUUAGGAAAACAGUUGAUUAAAUGAACUAACAUUUGAGAGAUGCACUAUUUCUUCUCACUCCUAUCACCACUCCUUUUAACCCUGCAAGUAAGCAUGCAUAUGCUACCAGAAGGCAAAAUAAGUUGCAUUAAGGCCAUAGUCUCUAUUCAGCAAAGUAGCUGACACUGUUAUCACAUCCACUUCUUUUCAACACCGCACACGGUGUUAAGGCUCUGCCAGUUUAAGAGAACUUUAAGUCCUUAAAGUUACGCAAAUAAACUCCCCAGCCUCACCCUAAACAGAGACUGAUUCAGUGGACUAAGGCUAUUGCCAUUUAUGAUGUCAUAAGAGCUGGCUAGCAAACAAGAACGCUCCAUACUACAUGAGGACCGAACAAAGAUGGCCUCUGGUCCCAAAGUCUAACAAACUCUUGGAAUAUCCUGGGGAUCAUCCAUUAGGAAUGUAACUCAUCCUCCCCAGUAAAAAGAGAUAUAAACUGUCAGGAGCUUUCACAAAGGGCAACGAUGUUGUCAAGCUCUUCUCCAACAAAAGCUCUUUGUCCUCUCUUAAGUAGGCUUCAUGUUAACAGUGUUCACUACCAGGAGCAGCAAUGUGUAUCUCUCUAAAAGAAGGCAGCUUCCCCCUUCCUCCUCCACCCCUCCUCUGGGCUCCUCUAGAAGAGACAGAUGCUUUCUGUGUCCUGGAACGCAUAAAGGCGUCUCACAGACCCCCAAAAAGCAUGUCCUUGGAGGUACCAGCAGUUAUCACGAGAACCGCCCUCAUUGGAGGCACAGAGCUGUUACCCAGCAAGUUGGCUUUAAUUUUCCAGACAGCACCAUAGAUGAGCAAAGCAAUUUGACAAGAAUAAAUCCAGCUUUUGCAUUUAA